AAUCAACGCUGGCGGCGUGCCUCAGACAUGCAAGUUGAACGAUUAAAGCCCUCUUCGGAGAGUGCAUAAAGUGGCGCACGGGUGAGUAACACGUAAGUAAUCUACCCUCGAGUGGGGAAUAACGUCCGGAAACGGACGCUAAUACCGCAUAACGCAGCGGCACCGCAAGGUGACAGUUGUUAAAGGAGAAAUUCGCUUGAGGAGGAGCUUGCGGCAGAUUAGCUGUUGGUAAGGUAACGGCUUACCAAGGCUACGAUCUGUAACCGGUCUAAGAGGACGGUCGGUCACACUGACACUGAAUAACGGGUCAGACUCCUACGGGAGGCAGCAGUCGGGAAUUUUGGGCAAUGGGGGAAACCCUGACCCAGCAACGCCGCGUGAAGGAUGAAGUAUUUCGGUAUGUAAACUUCGAAAGAAUAGGAAGAAUAAAUGACGGUACUAUUUAUAAGGUCCGGCUAACUACGUGCCAGCAGCCGCCGCCGUAAU
This 486-nucleotide ribosomal RNA is filed under the name uncultured bacterium. RNAcentral's name for it is "bacterial SSU rRNA". It matches the Rfam family "Bacterial small subunit ribosomal RNA", at positions 32 to 524 of the family's 1533-position model. The record is from RNAcentral.